UAAUUACACUUAAAUAAACUACCCUCCGAAUUUGACUCAAUUUAUUUCUUAUUUUUCCUUUGCAGCCAGAGCUGAUGUUUACAGGAAUCAGGGUAAUGAGGCCUUCAAGAAAGGAUAUUUCCUCGAUGCUAUUCACUUUUAAACAGAAGGAAUUAAAGUGAACUGCAAUGAGAAAGAACUGAAGGCCAAACUGUACAACAACAGGGCAACUGCACAUUUUAAACUUGGAAAUCACCAGGAUAUACACAUGCAGGGAUGUAAAAGGCUGCCGCUGAUCGAGUUACAACCAACUUAUCUCAAAGCAAUUGCUAGAGGAGCAAAAAUUGCCUGUGUUGAACUGAAUAAAUUUGAAGAUGCAAUCACUUAGUGUGAUAAGACAUUUGCUAUAUCCUUUAAGGAAUCCUUAUUUUUCUAGCCAUGGGUAAUUAUAUAAUGCAAAUAGUCAAUAACUUGACAUUUUGUAGGUCUGGAGAAAAUAUGAAGAAGGGUAUCAAUUUACUUGAGUACUUUUUAACUCAUACUUAAAGUGUAUUAAGUAAUUAAAAAGAAAGUGGGAAAAGUUUAUACCUCGUGACUUACUAAUGAUAUAUUAUUAUACUCCUUUUAGUAAUACCUUAGAGGUCUAAAUAUGUAUGCAGUAAUUAAAUGAUAAUAAGAUAAAUAACAGUUUAUGUUCACGGUACAACAGAAUUAUGUAAAUAUAUUCCAAGAGCAAUUAGUUUCUAAUAUUUGUAAGACUUACCUCUUAUGUGUUAUUUUAAAAGUGUUGAUGAGAUUCGGGGAAAGUGAGAAGUAACAAGGUAGUAUAGCUUAUUGG
Molecule: long non-coding RNA, 817 nt
Organism: Stylophora pistillata
Lineage: Eukaryota; Metazoa; Cnidaria; Anthozoa; Scleractinia; Pocilloporidae
Source: RefSeq, a predicted model, not a curated record